AGUUUAUUGAAGUGUUAGUGCUCAAACUUCUUGAAAAUGAAAGUUGUACAUGUCGUUUUGGUUUUGUCUCUGAUUGUGGGAUUGGCUUUGUGCCAAGAUCCUGCUGGAAUGGCCUCAAAUAUGGCUGGCAAGGCGCAAGACACUGCAGGAAAUGCUAAGGACACUGCUGGACAAAUGCCCGAUGCUGCUGCUAACGGUGCAGGACAAGCAGCAGGAAUGGCAGGAUCAAUGGGCUAGUCAAUAAUUUCGGACAAUGUAAUUACAACUGUAUAAUAAAGUGUUGAUGUAGCAAA
Molecule: long non-coding RNA, 293 nt
Organism: Aethina tumida (small hive beetle)
Lineage: Eukaryota; Metazoa; Arthropoda; Insecta; Coleoptera; Nitidulidae
Exons: 2
Source: RefSeq, a predicted model, not a curated record